This 781-nucleotide ribosomal RNA is filed under the name Bacillus sp. (in: firmicutes). RNAcentral describes it as "bacterial SSU rRNA". It matches the Rfam family "Bacterial small subunit ribosomal RNA", at positions 56 to 821 of the family's 1533-position model. Lineage: Bacteria; Bacillati; Bacillota; Bacilli; Caryophanales; Bacillaceae. The record is from RNAcentral.
UGCAGUCGAGCGGACAGAAGGGAGCUUGCUCCCGGAUGUUAGCGGCGGACGGGUGAGUAACACGUGGGUAACCUGCCUGUAAGACUGGGAUAACUCCGGGAAACCGGAGCUAAUACCGGAUAGUUCCUUGAACCGCAUGGUUCAAGGAUGAAAGACGGUUUCGGCUGUCACUUACAGAUGGACCCGCGGCGCAUUAGCUAGUUGGUGAGGUAACGGCUCACCAAGGCGACGAUGCGUAGCCGACCUGAGAGGGUGAUCGGCCACACUGGGACUGAGACACGGCCCAGACUCCUACGGGAGGCAGCAGUAGGGAAUCUUCCGCAAUGGACGAAAGUCUGACGGAGCAACGCCGCGUGAGUGAUGAAGGUUUUCGGAUCGUAAAGCUCUGUUGUUAGGGAAGAACAAGUGCAAGAGUAACUGCUUGCACCAUGACGGUACCUAACCAGAAAGCCACGGCUAACUACGUGCCAGCAGCCGCGGUAAUACGUAGGUGGCAAGCGUUGUCCGGAAUUAUUGGGCGUAAAGGGCUCGCAGGCGGUUUCUUAAGUCUGAUGUGAAAGCCCCCGGCUCAACCGGGGAGGGUCAUUGGAAACUGGGAAACUUGAGUGCAGAAGAGGAGAGUGGAAUUCCACGUGUAGCGGUGAAAUGCGUAGAGAUGUGGAGGAACACCAGUGGCGAAGGCGACUCUCUGGUCUGUAACUGACGCUGAGGAGCGAAAGCGUGGGGAGCGAACAGGAUUAGAUACCCUGGUAGUCCACGCCGUAAACGAUGAGUGCUAAGU